RNAcentral lists this ribosomal RNA (304 nucleotides) under uncultured bacterium. RNAcentral's name for it is "partial 16S ribosomal RNA". It matches the Rfam family "Bacterial small subunit ribosomal RNA", at positions 506 to 807 of the family's 1533-position model. The record is from RNAcentral.
CAGCAGUAGCCGCGGUAAUACAGAGGGUGCGAGCGUUAAUCGGAUUUACUGGGCGUAAAGCGUGCGUAGGCGGCUUUUUAAGUCGGAUGUGAAAUCCCUGAGCUUAACUUAGGAAUUGCAUUCGAUACUGGGAAGCUAGAGUAUGGGAGAGGAUGGUAGAAUUCCAGGUGUAGCGGUGAAAUGCGUAGAGAUCUGGAGGAAUACCGAUGGCGAAGGCAGCCAUCUGGCCUAAUACUGACGCUGAGGUACGAAAGCAUGGGGAGCAAACAGGAUUAGAUACCCGGGUAGUCCCUGUCUCUUAUAC